This 387-nucleotide ribosomal RNA is filed under the name uncultured bacterium. RNAcentral's name for it is "bacterial SSU rRNA". It matches the Rfam family "Bacterial small subunit ribosomal RNA", at positions 30 to 416 of the family's 1533-position model. The record is from RNAcentral.
AUUGAACGCUGGCGGCAUGCCUUACACAUGCAAGUCGAACGGCAGCACGGGAGCUUGCUCCUGGUGGCGAGUGGCGAACGGGUGAGUAAUAUAUCGGAACGUACCCUAGAGUGGGGAUAACGCAGCGAAAGUUGCGCUAAUACUGCAUACGAUCUAUGGAUGAAAGCGGGGGAUCGCAAGACCUCGCGCGAUUGGAGCGGCCGAUAUCAGAUUAGGUAGUUGGUGAGGUAAAGGCUCACCAAGCCGACGAUCUGUAGCUGGUCUGAGAGGACGACCAGCCACACUGGGACUGAGACACGGCCCAGACUCCUACGGGAGGCAGCAGUGGGGAAUUUUGGACAAUGGGCGCAAGCCUGAUCCAGCAAUGCCGCGUGCAGGAUGAAGGCC